This 271-nucleotide ribosomal RNA is filed under the name uncultured archaeon. Its description in RNAcentral is "partial 16S ribosomal RNA". It matches the Rfam family "Archaeal small subunit ribosomal RNA", at positions 477 to 747 of the family's 1478-position model. The record is from RNAcentral.
CAGCGCCACAAGUGGAAGCCGUUAUUAUUGGGCCUAAAGCGUUCGUAGCCGGCUUUGUAAAUCUUUCGUGAAAUUGUUCAGCUCAACUGAACAACGUGCGGGAGACACUGCAUAGCUAGGGACCGGGAGGAGUCAGAGGUAUUCUGGGGGGAGCGGUAAAAUGCUAUAAUCCUCAGCAGACCACCGAUGGCGAAGGCAUCUGACUAGAACGGAUCCGACGGUGAGGGACGAAAGCCAGGGGAGCAAACCGGAUUAGAUACCCGAGUAGUCC